Molecule: transfer RNA, 71 nt
Filed under: Loxodonta africana (African savanna elephant)
Lineage: Eukaryota; Metazoa; Chordata; Mammalia; Proboscidea; Elephantidae
Rfam family: tRNA
About the family: Transfer RNA (tRNA) molecules are approximately 80 nucleotides in length. Their secondary structure includes four short double-helical elements and three loops (D, anti-codon, and T loops).
Source: Rfam by way of RNAcentral
GCAGUGGUAGUCCAAUGGUAGAAUUCUCACCUUCCACACAGCAGACUUGGGUUUGAGUCCCAGCCAGUGCA